Molecule: long non-coding RNA, 1663 nt
Organism: Dreissena polymorpha
Lineage: Eukaryota; Metazoa; Mollusca; Bivalvia; Myida; Dreissenidae
Exons: 3
Source: RefSeq, a predicted model, not a curated record
UUUCAUUCCCUCAACGUCCAGGCAACGUGUGACCACAAAGGUAAGUCCCCUCUACAGGUUUGGCCUCAGUCUUAAAUGCCCAUGUAAUCCGGUAGAACUGUAACAUUACAGUACUGUACGUAUUUUCAUAACUUUAGUCCGGUAUAUAUCUUAAACAUUAACUCUUAAGGAAAAACAGUUUGUUCAACUUUUGUAAUUCGCAGUGAUCAACGUGUAAUUUCACAACUUUAUCACUAUUUCAAGCACACGCAAUUAUAUUUCAUUUAAUUUGCAGAUGAGAGCUGAUAUAAAUACAGCAAUAUAAAUGCAUACCAUAUUAUUAAUGCGCGCAUCUAUUUUGAUGUAUCCAAAAUUCUUUUCUAUAAUCUGCAACUUCCAUUCAGUGAUCCACCCAUGAGAGAGACUACACGCUAACUGAAUUCAGUUUACUCAGUACUGGCGUAGUAGUCUGUAAUGACAUCACAGUAAUCUUGACACAUAUGUACUUUGGUACAUGUCAGGCCAUACAUGUAUAUGAGUUGCUGAGUAAGAAUCGCGUUUUCCUAACAGAGGCUCCUGUGGGGUAUUUCAACACUGGUUUGUUGAUUGUUUAUCAUAAGGCUAGGUUUGGAAUUAACAAUAUUUCUCAUGUAACACUUUUUGGCAAUUUGUUGUUUGAAUCCCAAUAUUAGAAUUCUGUCAAGUAUCUAGGUGCCAUUUUAGACAGUGGAUUAUCUGAAAUGUAUUUGAUUAACCACUUAAAAAGACACAAUGUUAUUCAUUAUAUUGCAAUGUCACCUUGAUUAUGCUAGUUCAUCCUGGUAUUGUGGACUAAUCAAAGGGUUGAAAACAAAUUUCAAAAUAAGAAUAUUAGACUCAUUAAUAAUUAUGACUGUAGGCACCCUGUAAGUUUGUGCUCCAGACUUUGAAAAGUUAGGAUUGUUAAAUAUUAACCAGAGUUGUAAGCAAUUAAGAGUGAAGCAUGUUCACAAGAUUUUUAAUAACAAAUCUAUUUUAUGUAUGAAUGAUCAUUGUAAGAGAACUAAAGAUCUACAUAAGUAUAGACAGGAGAAUUUUCUUUGUGCCUCAAGUUAAUGGUAUUACUGUAUGCACAUUCUACUACAAUGGCAUUUUGGACUGGAAUGCUCUGCCAUAAGAUGGAUCAUGUUUCAUAGCUUUCAUGCUUGAUUGUGAAUGUCUCUUUAAUGUUUAACAAUGUACUAAAUUUAUAUUCACAGGGAUGUUUACAAGUGUGAAUGCAUGUUGUCCUGGAUGCUGUCAUGACUCCAACAUCUUUCGAAUGUCCAAGCUUGGGCAGCAUAUGGCCAAUCACCAUCAAGAUCUUGAACGUGGAUAUCUUUUAGGAGAUAGUGGAUACCCUUGCAGGCCUUUCCUGCUGACACUGUUACUUCAGUCAGAGUCAGAAGCUCAGGAAAGGUACAAUGCUGCGCACAUCGGCACCAGGAACAGUAUUGAAAGGGCCUUUUGCAAUCUGUAUCUGUACCUGCUGAUGUACCACAUCUUGCCUGCAUCUCUGAUGAAAAUAGUUACAUUAUAGAACCCUGUUAUACAUCUUUUAUGUUAAGAUCAUAUUAUUUGUUUCAUUGAGUCAACGUUGUUAAAGCAAGUGAUAUUUUGAAGUUUUUAUUUGUUUCAUACAUACUGUUCAGUAGAGAUAUAAUAU